This 475-nucleotide ribosomal RNA is filed under the name uncultured bacterium. Its description in RNAcentral is "bacterial SSU rRNA". It matches the Rfam family "Bacterial small subunit ribosomal RNA", at positions 28 to 487 of the family's 1533-position model. The record is from RNAcentral.
GAUGAACGCUAGCUACAGGCUUAACACAUGCAAGUCGAGGGGCAUCAUGUCGGUUGCUUGCAACCGAUGAUGGCGACCGGCGCAAGGGUGCGUAACGCGUGAGCAACAUGCCCUAUACAGGGGGAUAAUCCAGGGAAACUUGGUCUAAUAUCCCAUAGUAUUUAGAGGUGGCAUCACCACUAAAUUAAAGCUUCGGUGGUAUAGGAUUGGCUCGCGUGACAUUAGCUGGAUGGUGGGGUAACGGCUCACCAUGGCGAUGAUGUCUAGGGGUUCUGAGAGGAAGACCCCCCACACUGGGACGUGAGACACGGCCCACGACUCCUACGGGAGGGCAGCAGUGAGGAAUAUUGGACGAAUGGAUGGAAAUACUGAUCCAGCCAUGCCGCGUGCAGGAAGACGGCCCUAUGGGUUGUAAACUGCUUUUAUAUGGGAGCAAUAAGGUUUACGCGUAGACCGAUGAGAGUACCAUAUGAAU